This 496-nucleotide ribosomal RNA is filed under the name uncultured bacterium. RNAcentral's name for it is "partial 16S ribosomal RNA". It matches the Rfam family "Bacterial small subunit ribosomal RNA", at positions 28 to 507 of the family's 1533-position model. The record is from RNAcentral.
GAUGAACGCUGGCGGCGUGCCUAAUACAUGCAAGUCGAGCGAACGUACGAGAAGCUUGCUUCUCUGAUGUUAGCGGCGGACGGGUGAGUAACACGUGGAUAACCUACCUAUAAGACUGGGAUAACUUCGUGAAACCGGAGCUAAUACCGGGUGAUAUUUUGAGCCGCAUGGUUCAAAAGUGAAAGACGGUCUUUCUGUCACUGGUAGAUGGAUCCGCGCUGCAUUAGCUAGUUGGUAAGGUAACGGCUUACCAAGGCAACGAUGCAUAGCCGACCUGAGAGGGGGAUGGGCCACCGGGGACAUGAGAACGGGGCCAGACCCCAAAGGGAGGCAGGAGGCGGGAAUCUGGCGAAUUGGGCGAAAGCCGGAGGGCGAAAGCCGGGGGGAGGGAGGAGGGUUGGAGGCCCGUAAAUUGUUGUUUUUAGGCAAGAAAAUACGAGUAACGAAGUGGGCCGUUUUGGGGGGAACCGAAAAAGAAGGCCCGGCUAACUACGGG